This 762-nucleotide ribosomal RNA is filed under the name uncultured bacterium. Its description in RNAcentral is "bacterial SSU rRNA". It matches the Rfam family "Bacterial small subunit ribosomal RNA", at positions 86 to 846 of the family's 1533-position model. The record is from RNAcentral.
UGGUGGCGAGUGGCGAACGGGUGAGUAAUACAUCGGAACAUGUCCUGUAGUGGGGGAUAGCCCGGCGAAAGCCGGAUUAAUACCGCAUACGAUCUACGGAUGAAAGCGGGGGACUUCGGGCCUCGCGCUAUAGGGUUGGCCGAUGGCUGAUUAGCUAGUUGGUGGGGUAAAAGCCUACCAAGGCGACGAUCAGUAGCUGGUCUGAGAGGACGACCAGCCACACUGAGACUGAGACACGGCCCAGACUCCUACGGGAGGCAGCAGUGGGGAAUUUUGGACAAUGGGCGAAAGCCUGAUCCAGCAAUGCCGCGUGUGUGAAGAAGGCCUUCGGGUUGUAAAGCACUUUUGUCCGGAAAGAAAUCCUUGGCUCUAAUACAGUCGGGGGAUGACGGUACUGGAAGAAUAAGCACCGGCUAACUACGUGCCAGCAGCCGCGGUAAUACGUAGGGUGCAAGCGUUAAUCGGAAUUACUGGGCGUAAAGCGUGCGCAGGCGGUUUGCUAAGACCGAUGUGAAAUCCCCGGGCUCAACCUGGGAACUGCAUUGGUGACUGGCAGGCUAGAGUAUGGCAGAGGGGGGUAGAAUUCCACGUGUAGCAGUGAAAUGCGUAGAGAUGUGGAGGAAUACCGAUGGCGAAGGCAGCCCCCUGGGCCAAUACUGACGCUCAUGCACGAAAGCGUGGGGAGCAAACAGGAUUAGAUACCCUGGUAGUCCACGCCCUAAACGAUGUCAACUAGUUGUUGGGGAUUCAUUUCCUUAGUAA